CCUACGGGAGGCAGCAGUGGGGAAUAUUGCGCAAUGGGCGAAAGCCUGACGCAGCGACGCCGCGUGAGGGAUGAAGGUCUUCGGAUCGUAAACCUCUGUCAGCAGGGAAGAACGGUCACUGUGCUAAUCAGCAGUGAAUUGACGGUACCUGCAAAGGAAGCACCGGCUAACUCCGUGCCAGCAGCCGCGGUAAUACGGAGGGUGCGAGCGUUAAUCGGAAUUACUGGGCGUAAAGCGCUCGUAGGCGGUAUGUCAAGUCAAGGGUGAAAUCCCCGCGCUCAACGUGGGAACUGCCUUUGAAACUGGCAAAGUGGAGUGUGGGAGAGGAUAGUGGAAUUGCAGGUGUAGGAGGUAAAUCCGU
This 361-nucleotide ribosomal RNA is filed under the name uncultured bacterium. Its description in RNAcentral is "partial 16S ribosomal RNA". It matches the Rfam family "Bacterial small subunit ribosomal RNA", at positions 338 to 691 of the family's 1533-position model. The record is from RNAcentral.